Xiphophorus hellerii (green swordtail) is the source of this 90-nucleotide long non-coding RNA. RefSeq lists it as uncharacterized. The record is from RefSeq and is a predicted model, not a curated record. NCBI's taxonomy places the organism in Eukaryota, Metazoa, Chordata, Actinopteri, Cyprinodontiformes, Poeciliidae. The transcript is spliced from 3 exons.
UAAAAUAUAUUUAAAUGUUUUCUAGAAAUAAUCAAGUUUAUCUGUAUAACUUAUUUCAGCAACAAGACAGUUCAAAAUGCUUUACAUCAU